UGCGCAGGCGGUUUUGUAAGUCUGUCGUGAAAUCCCCGGGCUCAACCUGGGAAUUGCGAUGGAGACUGCAAGGCUAGAAUCUGGCAGAGGGGGGUAGAAUUCCACGUGUGGCAGUGAAAUGCGUAGAGAUGUGGAGGAACACCGAUGGCGAAGGCAGCCCCCUGGGUCAAGAUUGACGCUCAUGCACGAAAGGCGUGGGAGCAAACA
This 207-nucleotide ribosomal RNA is filed under the name uncultured bacterium. Its description in RNAcentral is "partial 16S ribosomal RNA". It matches the Rfam family "Bacterial small subunit ribosomal RNA", at positions 568 to 774 of the family's 1533-position model. The record is from RNAcentral.